This 460-nucleotide ribosomal RNA is filed under the name uncultured bacterium. RNAcentral's name for it is "partial 16S ribosomal RNA". It matches the Rfam family "Bacterial small subunit ribosomal RNA", at positions 338 to 795 of the family's 1533-position model. The record is from RNAcentral.
CCUACGGGGGACAGCAGUGAGGAAUAUUGGUCAAUGGGCGCGAGCCUGAACCAGCCAAGUCGUGUGAGGGAGGACGGCCCUACGGGUUGUAAACCUCUUUUGCCGGGGAGCAACGGGCGUCACGUGUGGCGCCACUGAGAGUACCCGGAGAAAAAGCAUCGGCUAACUCCGUGCCAGCAGCCGCGGUAAUACGGAGGAUGCGAGCGUUAUCCGGAUUUAUUGGGUUUAAGGGGUGCGUAGGCGGAUCGUUAAGUCAGUGGUCAAAUUGAGGGGCUCAACCCCUUCCCGCCAUUGAAACUGGCGUUCUUGAGUGGAAGAGAAGUAUGCGGAAUGCGUGGUGUAGCGGUGAAAUGCAUAGAUAUCACGCAGAACCCCGAUUGCGAAGGCAGCAUGCCGGCUUCCGACUGACGCUGAAGCUCGAAAGUGUGGGUAUCAAACAGGAUUAGAUACCCUUGUAGUC